Long non-coding RNA from Lytechinus pictus (painted urchin), 2672 nucleotides. RefSeq lists it as uncharacterized. Lineage: Eukaryota; Metazoa; Echinodermata; Echinoidea; Temnopleuroida; Toxopneustidae. The record is from RefSeq and is a predicted model, not a curated record. The transcript is spliced from 3 exons.
CUCGUUCUAAUGACGUCAUACUCUUCACCCUAAAAGCCAAGAUGGAAGAAUGCAACCAUCACCUUCACAUCUGUCUGGAUGCCAAGUUCUUUUGAUAGGAGACUCAAUUGUGCGACACGCUGUUUUUAAUGGACCCUUUUCUUCUGAAACUUUGUGCUUUCCAGGGGCUAAUGUUACAUCGUUAAGAUCAUCAUUCGUCAAAUCUUUCAGAAUUACUUCGACUUUUCUACAAAGGCUGUUUUCAUCCAUAUAGGAACAAACAAUUUAGAACAUAGUGUUUGGGAAAAGGAUUCCAAAGCAUUUCAUAAUUUGUAUAUUAGUGUUAGAGAGCAAUUUCGGUGUGCAAAGAUUAUUAACUGUUUGGGAUAAAGUACAGAUUCCCAUAUACUAUUAUCCAGACAUUGAAUUAUAUGGCUUUGUUGUAUCCAGGGAUGAUGGGGAAGUACAUGUAGCAUGCCAGGUAGAUUUUGUGGGCCAGGUUGCCGCUGUAGACAGUGCCAAAAUCUUACUGCUGUAGAGAAACUGGCAAGUGAUAGCGACUCCAGUGAAGAAGAUUCUGAUAUUGAUCAUUUUGAUUAUGAUUCUGAUUUUGAUGAAGUUCCUUGUGAUAAAACAAAUAUCGAAGGUACCAUUGAAAUCGACAUUGAUGGUGAUUUAUCUCUGUUUGAAGAUUUGCAGGAAGACUGUUCAGAUUAUGAGUAGGCAUUCUCUGUGUCAUGUUCUUGUAGCCCUUUAAAAUCAUUCAUCAGUCAUUUAAUCAGUCUAUUAUAUGCCAGUAUUCAUUGGCUGCUGUGAGGGUGAAGUUUGUUACAUUGAAUCAAUUCAUGAUAGCUAUUACUUUUAUAUUAUGUACAUGUUUUUUUUAAUGGUUAUAAUUUUUGUUUAAAGAACAUUUAUAAGAAGGCAUGACAGGCAAUGUGGAAAUGUUGGUGAGCAUUUACACAUGUUUUUUAUGCAUGUGAUACCUUUUUAUUUGUAUAUCAUUAAGUGUCUGCAACAUUACACUAUUUCCACAUUAUGCAUAACAGAAGAAGUUGAACUAUUUUUUUUUUCCACAAGUAUGCACAUUUUUCAUAUAUUUAACGUACCUUGCCAUGUUAUGUUUAUUCUUGCUUUUUACUGCAAUACAUAUGAGUCAGUGUAUGUAUACGUUUCUUGCCAGUUCCAUUGAGGUCUUGCAGGUCAAUCAUUUUGGUAGCUGAAAUAAUAGUUGUCGUAGUUGUAUGAAACAAAUGUGAAGUUUCUUACGACAAUUGUGAGGCUUAAGCAGAAUACAUGAUGGUUACAUGUAUUUUGUUAGAUUGGCUAAUUAUUUCAUUAGCAAUAUAUAGAGGUGCAGUACAUGUAUUUCCUCUUGAACUUUGACGCAGCUUUUUUCAAUAUGUGUGUGAUUUACAAUAUCCUAUAAAACAGUUGUGUAUAUUAUUAUUAUUAUUUUGCCCUGUUGUUGCUUUGCUUUUGCUACUUAUGAUUAUGAUUAUGUAAAUGUGUAACUUUUUUUGCUUACAUACAUGUAUUGAACCUUUUGUACAAGUUGUCAUGAUGGUGAGCAUUGAACUACCCUUGUUCCUACUUUUACAUGUACAUUAUAUAUAUUUUCAUGAUCACCUCUUUAUAAAUUGUUUUUCCUUGUCAUUUAGAUAGUGCAUUGUGGCAGUUUCUUGCAGGUCAAUCAUUUUGGCAACUCAGAUAAUAGUUUUUGUAGUUACAUGUAUAUGAAACAAAUGAUAAGUUUCUUACAGCAAUUGUGAGGCUUAAGCUAAAUACAUGAUGGUUACAUGUAUUUUGUUAGAUUGGCUAAUUAUUUCAUUAGCAAUAUAUAGAGGUGCAGUACAUGUAUUUCCUCUUGAACUUUGACGCAGCUUUUUCAAUAUGUUUGUGAUUUACAAUAUCCUAUAAAACAGUUGUGUAUAUUAUUUUACCCUGCUGUUGCUGUUCCUACUUAUGAUUAUGUAAAUGUGUAAAUUUUUUGUUUAUGUAAAUGUGUAAAUUUUUUGUUUAUAUGUUGAAGCACUUGUACAAGUUGUCAUGAUGGUGAGCAUUGAACUACCCUUGUUCCUACUUUUACAUGUACAUUAUGUAUAUUUUCAUGAUCACCUUUUUAUAAAUUGUUUUUUCCUUGCCAUUUAGAGAGUGCAUAGUGGCAGUUUUAACAUCUCAUACACAUGUUAACAAUGGGGACAUUAUUACAGUUGGUGAUACGUAUAUUGACCCCAGUAAUUCCAUAUAUUGUAAUAUGUAUUACCUAGAUAUACAUGUAUGUAAACGUAUGGCUGAAUUAUUUCUUUUAUGAGGCAGUUUUGAUGGCACUGACUUCUGUAUACAAAGAUUAUUUCACUUGUUUCCUGUCAUGACUACCAAAGUAAUUUCACUGAUGACGGGCUUUCCUAAACAAUACAUUCCUUGUUUAUAAAAUUGUUUUAACUCAUAUUUACCUCAACUACUGUCUGCUUGCCAAAGACAUUCAGGGAGCAUUAGAUGUAAAACUGCCUUUAUCUUUAUUAACAUGUUUGAUUGUAAAACAAAAACAGUAUUCACUUAUACUCUCUUCAUGUACUUGCCUUGAAUGAUAUUAGGUGCCAAAGUUUUUUGCUUGUAUUUAUAUGUUUUGUAAACAUGAGUUUCAAGAGUUUGAUGUUGGAAAUAAACUCUUUUUUUCUUGUUAAAAUUGA